RNAcentral lists this ribosomal RNA (207 nucleotides) under uncultured bacterium. RNAcentral describes it as "partial 16S ribosomal RNA". It matches the Rfam family "Bacterial small subunit ribosomal RNA", at positions 568 to 774 of the family's 1533-position model. The record is from RNAcentral.
CUCGUAGGCGGCCAGCUAAGUCAGACGUGAAAUCCCUCGGCUUAACCGGGGAACUGCGUCUGAUACUGGAUGGCUCGAGUUUGGGAGAGGGAUGCGGAAUUCCAGGUGUAGCGGUGAAAUGCGUAGAUAUCUGGAGGAACACCGGUGGCGAAGGCGGCAUCCUGGACCAACACUGACGCUGAGGAGCGAAAGCCAGGGGAGCAAACG